This 207-nucleotide ribosomal RNA is filed under the name uncultured bacterium. RNAcentral's name for it is "partial 16S ribosomal RNA". It matches the Rfam family "Bacterial small subunit ribosomal RNA", at positions 568 to 774 of the family's 1533-position model. The record is from RNAcentral.
CGCGUAGGCGGGGAGGUAAGUCGGGUGUGAAAUCCCUCGGCCCAACCGAGGAACUGCGCCCGAGACUGCCUCUCUUGAGUCCCGGAGAGGAAGGUGGAAUUCCCGGUGUAGCGGUGAAAUGUGUAGAGAUCGGGAGGAACACCGGUGGCGAAGGCGGCCUUCUGGACGGUGACUGACGCUGAGGCGCGAAAGCGUGGGGAGCAAACG